AUUAACGCUGGCGGCGUGCCUAACACAUGCAAGUCGAGCGGCAGCGAGUUUUACACUGACUUCUGGAAGCUUCUAGUUGAAAGAGAAGAUUUAUUCAAGAAUUUUGUGUAAAAUGUCGGCGAGCGGCGGACGGCUGAGUAACGCGUGGGAACGUACCCCAAAGUGAGGGAUAACGCAUCGAAAGGUGUGCUCAUACCGCAUAUGGUCUUCGGAUUAAAGCCUUCGGGCGCUUUGGGAACGGCCUGCGUAAGAUUAGAUAGUUGGUGGGGUAAUGGCCUACCAAGGCGACGAUCGUUAACUGGUAUGAGAGGAUGAUCAGUCAGACUGGAACUGAGACACGGUCCAGACUCCUACGGGAGGCAGCAGUGAGGAAUCUUCCACAAUGGGCGAAAGCCUGAUGGAGCAACGCCGCGUGCAGGAUGAAGACCUUCGGGUUGUAAACUGCUUUUAUAAGUGAGGAUUAUGACAGUAACUUAUGAAUAAGGAUCGGCUAACUACGUG
RNAcentral lists this ribosomal RNA (501 nucleotides) under uncultured bacterium. RNAcentral's name for it is "partial 16S ribosomal RNA". It matches the Rfam family "Bacterial small subunit ribosomal RNA", at positions 29 to 507 of the family's 1533-position model. The record is from RNAcentral.